Molecule: ribosomal RNA, 305 nt
Filed under: uncultured bacterium
Lineage: Bacteria
Description: bacterial SSU rRNA
Rfam family: Bacterial small subunit ribosomal RNA
Source: RNAcentral
CAGACCCUACGGACGCAGCAGUGAGGAAUAUUGGUCAAUGGCCGGAAGGCUGAACCAGCCAAGCCGCGUGAAGGACGAAGGUGCCAAGCAUUGUAAACUUCUUUUGUCAAGGGACAAAAUCAGGCUCGAGAGCCUGACCGAGGGUACUUGAAGAAAAAGCAUCGGCUAACUCCGUGCCAGCAGCCGCGGUAAUACGGAGGAUGCGAGCGUUAUCCGGAUUUAUUGGGUUUAAAGGGUGCGUAGGCGGACUGUUAAGUCAGCGGUAAAAGCCCGGGGCUCAACCCCGGCGAGCCGUUGAAACUUGC